GACGAACGCUGGCGGCGUGCUUAACACAUGCAAGUCGAACGGAAAGGCCCUGCUUUUGUGGGGUGCUCGAGUGGCGAACGGGUGAGUAACACGUGAGUAACCUGCCCUUGACUUUGGGAUAACUUCAGGAAACUGGGGCUAAUACCGGAUAGGAGCUCCUGCUGCAUGGCGGGGGUUGGAAAGUUUCGGCGGUUGGGGAUGGACUCGCGGCUUAUCAGCUUGUUGGUGGGGUAGUGGCUUACCAAGGCUUUGACGGGUAGCCGGCCUGAGAGGGUGACCGGCCACAUUGGGACUGAGAUACGGCCCAGACUCCUACGGGAGGCAGCAGUGGGGGAUAUUGCACAAUGGGCGGAAGCCUGAUGCAGCAACGCCGCGUGCGGGAUGACGGCCUUCGGGUUGUAAACCGCUUUCGCCUGUGACGAAGCGUGAGUGACGGUAAUGGGUAAAGAAGCACCGGCUAACUACGUG
Molecule: ribosomal RNA, 468 nt
Filed under: uncultured bacterium
Lineage: Bacteria
Description: partial 16S ribosomal RNA
Rfam family: Bacterial small subunit ribosomal RNA
Source: RNAcentral